This 451-nucleotide ribosomal RNA is filed under the name uncultured organism. Its description in RNAcentral is "partial 16S ribosomal RNA". It matches the Rfam family "Bacterial small subunit ribosomal RNA", at positions 334 to 801 of the family's 1533-position model. The record is from RNAcentral.
CACUCCUGCGGGAGGCAGCAGUGGGGAAUAUUGGACAAUGGGCGCAAGCCUGAUCCAGCCAUGCCGCGUGAGUGAUGAAGGCCCUAGGGUUGUAAAGCUCUUUCACCGGUGAAGAUAAUGACGGUAACCGGAGAAGAAGCCCCGGCUAACUUCGUGCCAGCAGCCGCGGUAAUACGAAGGGGGCUAGCGUUGUUCGGAUUUACUGGGCGUAAAGCGCACGUAGGCGGACUAUUAAGUCAGGGGUGAAAUCCCGGGGCUCAACCCCGGAACUGCCUUUGAUACUGGUAGUCUUGAGUUCGAGAGGGGUGAGUGGAAUUCCGAGUGUAGAGGUGAAAUUCGUAGAUAUUCGGAGGAACACCAGUGGCGAAGGCGGCUCACUGGCUCGAUACUGACGCUGAGGUGCGAAAGCGUGGGGAGCAAACAGGAUUAGAAACCCCGGUAGUCCCAUGAU